UACUGGGAGUGAUCCUGUAACCAGCAGGAGAGCGCAGACAUAUUUUCAAUGCAUCUGUAUCCAUAUCUCCCAAAUGGGCUGCUGGAUCACACGAAGUCCAAUCUUGCUUUUUGAUGGGGGCCCCGUUGCUUUCCAUACUGGCUGUGCUAAUUAAUGCACACCCCGUCCCCAGUGUAUGAGGGUCCCCUUGCUCCUGCGGCAGAGCUCAUUAUCACUGUCCGUGUGAUGCUGGCCACUCUGGCAGAUGUGAAGUGAGGCAUCAUUUCUGUUUUAUUUUGCAUUUCCUGAUGACUAAUGAUUCACAUACCAUUUGUAUUUGUUUUUUUUUAGAAAUGUCCUUUCAGGUUCCUUGUCUAAUUUUAAGCUGUGUUUUUCCAUUUUAUUGUUUGAAUUUAGUCCGUGUUUUGGAUAUUAAUCUUCAUUAGGUACAUAGUUGCUCAGUAGUUUCUUUUGGCAGCGGGCCUACAUCACAUGUUCUGGUCAAGAAAGCAAUCUCUGUAGUUGAUACUGAAAGUGAGGCCCAGGAGAAGGUGGCUGAGGAGUGGAAGACAUUGCGUUGACCUCAGGCAUCAAGGUGGAGCAGAGGACGGAGGAGGGAGAUGGUGGAGCUGAAAUGCAGCGUCACCCCUGAAACAGAGGAGCCAGGGAGCGACAACACUGUGAGGCUGGAGAAACCCAAGAAAACGGCUGCCGUCUUUACAAAGAAGAUACUGUCGAGUUCAUGGUUCUCAACACCUUGCUCUGCCGCGCUCAUAGGAAUGAGCAGAUGGACAAAGAGAGGGGCUCCCAGCUAAGAACCCACCUUGCAUCUCCCAAGAGACUUUGGACUUGGACUUUUUACUAAUGCUGGAACUGUGAAAACUCUGGCAACUCUUAGAGAUGGAGUCAAUACAUUUUGCAUAAAGAGAUGGACACAAAUCUUUUUGGGACCCCAGGGAAGAAUAUUACGGCUUAGACCUAGGAUGUUCCCCCAAGUUCUCAUGUGUUUAGAAGUUGAUUGGAUCAUGUGCUGCAUUCUCAUUAGCGGUUUAGUCUACUGAUGAGUUCAUAGCUGACUUGCUGUUGGAACACAGGAGUCUGGUUAGCGUCCGGUCACUAGGGAUGUGACCCAGAAAGGUAUAUUUUCUCUCCUCCUCCUCUCUUGCUCUCUGUUUCCUGAUCAUCUUGACCAAAGCAGCUUUUUUUGCCACCAAGCUCCUCUGUCAUGACAUUUCUGCCUUGGAGCCAGAUAAUCAUGGACUGAAAUCUCUCAAAACUGAACGAAAUUGAACAUAUCCUCCUUAAAGUUGGGGAUGUCACCAAGAAACUAAGACACUACUUAAUAAAUUCUUGCUGCUACAGUUAUUAAUUUUUAUUAUAUUAGAACAAAUUAACUGCUUACUUUAAAAUUUCAGUGAAUUAGUAAUAUUUAUUUUUCAUUAACAUAGUCUAGUGUAGAUGACUUCAAUCAGGUGGUUCUCUUCAUGACCAAAGGACUCAGGGAUGCUACCUUUUGUUUUGUGGUGCCUUUGUCUUCAACAGAUGGUCUUUAAGAUUUCUGAAGAGAAGUUAGGGCUGCCUUAACAUGACUUGGAAGCAGUUCUUUGUUAAGAACUAAAACAGCCUAGAUAGAUCCUAGGGGGCUGGAAUAGACAACUUUGCCAUGUGCUCAGGUAGAAAUGUGGUGAGUGAAUUAUGCUAGUCUUCACCACAGGAUUAUUUUUUUUUUUGCUGUUAUAAUUAAUAUUAUGUAUUGCAAAGGCAGUCAUUUUUCUAAAUGAAAUAUGGCCUUUAACAAUGCUCACUGUCAUAAUUCCAGGAAAUCAUUUCUGGGAGAUACAAACUUUACAUAUAGGUUUGAGGUGU
Molecule: long non-coding RNA, 1845 nt
Organism: Cavia porcellus (domestic guinea pig)
Lineage: Eukaryota; Metazoa; Chordata; Mammalia; Rodentia; Caviidae
Exons: 3
Source: RefSeq, a predicted model, not a curated record